GGAACCUCAAUGACCCUUCUCUGGUGUCCCAAAAAUUAUUUCCCUGCGUUUCCCUCGGGUUUAGGGCUACUAGCUGUCUUUACAGUAACUUCCCGUUAAGUCACUCAUCACAGGGGCACCGACUCAUUUAAUUCAUUUGCAAUUCACUUCUUUUAUUUUUUCUUAAUUUUACUUAGUCUUUAUUCAGUCAAUUUAUGCCUCAUCACUCUAGUUAGAGUGUAGUUCUAGCCAUCCUAGCUGUCCCGACAAACAUUAGUCGUCGAAAUAAUAGAAUAUACGGACUAUCUAAAGUGAGGGCG
Molecule: unclassified non-coding RNA, 299 nt
Filed under: Hevea brasiliensis (rubber tree)
Lineage: Eukaryota; Viridiplantae; Streptophyta; Magnoliopsida; Malpighiales; Euphorbiaceae
Source: RNAcentral